Molecule: ribosomal RNA, 440 nt
Filed under: uncultured bacterium
Lineage: Bacteria
Description: partial 16S ribosomal RNA
Rfam family: Bacterial small subunit ribosomal RNA
Source: RNAcentral
CCUACGGGAGGCAGCAGUGGGGGAUAUUGCACAAUGGGGGAAACCCUGAUGCAGCGACGCCGCGUGUGGGAAGACGGUCCUCUGGAUUGUAAACCACUGUCCCCAGGGACGAAGAUGACGGUACCUGGGGAGGAAGCUCCGGCUAACUACGUGCCAGCAGCCGCGGUAAUACGUAGGGAGCGAGCGUUGUCCGGAAUUACUGGGUGGAAAGGGAGCGUGGGCGGGACUGCAAGUUGGGUGUCAAAUCUACCGGCUCAACCGGUAGCCGCACUCAAAACUGCAGUUCUUGAGUGAAGUAGAGGCAGGCGGAAUGCCUAGUGUAGCGGUGAAAUGCGGAGAGAUUAGGAGGAACACCAGUGGCGAAGGCGGCCUGCUGGGCUUUUACUGACGCUGAGGCUCGAAAGUGUGGGGAGCAAACAGGAUUAGAUACCCGAGUAGUC